UGGGGAAUUUUGGACAAUGGGCGAAAGCCUGAUCCAGCAAUGCCGCGUGUGUGAAGAAGGCCUUCGGGUUGUAAAGCACUUUUGUCCGGAAAGAAAUCCUUGGCUCUAAUACAGUCGGGAGAUGACGGUACCGGAAGAAUAAGCACCGGCUAACUACGUGCCAGCAGCCGCGGUAAUACGUAGGGUGCAAGCGUUAAUCGGAAUUACUGGGCGUAAAGCGUGCGCAGGCGGUUUGCUAAGACCGAUGUGAAAUCCCCGGGCUCAACCUGGGAACUGCAUUGGUGACUGGCAGGCUAGAGUAUGGCAGAGGGGGGUAGAAUUCCACGUNUAGCAGUGAAAUGCGUAGAGAUGUGGAGGAAUACCGAUGGCGAAGGCAGCCCCCUGGGCCAAUACUGACGCUCAUGCACGAAAGCGUGGGGAGCAAACAGGAUUAGAUACCCUGGUAGUCCACGCCCUAAACGAUGUCGACUAGUUGUUGGGGAACUUCAUUUUCCUUAGUAACGUAGCUAACGCGUGAAGUUGACCGCCUGGGGAGUACGGUCGCAAGAUUAAAACUCAAAUGAAUUGACGGGGU
RNAcentral lists this ribosomal RNA (574 nucleotides) under uncultured bacterium. RNAcentral describes it as "partial 16S ribosomal RNA". It matches the Rfam family "Bacterial small subunit ribosomal RNA", at positions 355 to 919 of the family's 1533-position model. The record is from RNAcentral.